RNAcentral lists this ribosomal RNA (206 nucleotides) under Cronobacter sakazakii. Its description in RNAcentral is "partial 23S ribosomal RNA". It matches the Rfam family "Bacterial large subunit ribosomal RNA", at positions 1 to 198 of the family's 2925-position model. Lineage: Bacteria; Pseudomonadati; Pseudomonadota; Gammaproteobacteria; Enterobacterales; Enterobacteriaceae. The record is from RNAcentral.
GGGUUGUGAGGUUAAGCGAACAAGCGUACACGGUGGAUGCCCUGGCAGUCAGAGGCGAUGAAGGACGUGCUAAUCUGCGAAAAGCGCCGGUAAGGUGAUAUGAACCGUUAUAACCGGCGAUGUCCGAAUGGGGAAACCCGGUGCACUUCGGUGCAUCAUCGUUAGCUGAAUACAUAGGCUAACGAAGCGAACCGGGGGAACUGAAA